AGAGUUUGAUCAUGGCUCAGAACGAACGCUGGCGGCGUGGAUAAGACAUGCAAGUCGGACGAGAUUUUCCGUUGUAGCAAUACGAUGGAAAGUCUAGUGGCGAACGGGUGCUUAACACGUGGGCAACCUGCCGAGAAGUGGGGGAUAGCUCGCCGAAAGGCGAAUUAAUACCGCAUGUGAUGAGAGAGGACAUCCUUUCGAAAUUAAAGUCGGGGCAACCUGACGCUUCUUGUGGGGUCCGCGGCCUAUCAGCUAGUUGGUGAGGUAACGGCUCACCAAGGCUUUGACGGGUAGCUGGUCUGAGAGGACGACCAGCCACACUGGGACUGAGACACGGCCCAGACACCUACGGGUGGCAGCAGUCGAGAAUUUUUCUCAAUGGGGGAAACCCUGAAGGAGCGACGCCGCGUGGAGGAUGAAGGUCUUCGGAUUGUAAACUCCUGUCAUUGGGGAACAAUGCGCAGAUAUUAACUGUAUUUGCGUUGAUAGUACCCGAAGAGGAAGAGACGGCUAACUCUGUGCCAGCAGCCGCGGUAAUACAGAGGUCUCAAGCGUUGUUCGGAUUCAUUGGGCGUAAAGGGUGCGUAGGCGGCGCGGUAAGUCGGGUGUGAAAUCUCGGAGCUUAACUCCGAAACUGCAUUUGAUACUGCCGUGCUUGAGGACUGGAGAGGAGACUGGAAUUUACGGUGUAGCGGUGAAAUGCGUAGAUAUCGUAAGGAAGACCAGUGGCGAAAGCGGGUCUCAGACAGUUCCUGACGCUGAGGCACGAAAGUCAGGGAGCAAACGGGAUUAGAUACCCCGGUAGUCCUGACAGUAACGGUGCACGUUUGGUGUGGGAGGAUUCGACCCCUUCUGCGCCGAGCUAACGCGUUAAACGUGCCGCCUGGGGGAGUACGAUCGCAGAUUAAAACUCAAAGAAAUUGACGGGGCCCGCACAAGCGGUGGAGUA
RNAcentral lists this ribosomal RNA (949 nucleotides) under uncultured bacterium. Its description in RNAcentral is "bacterial SSU rRNA". It matches the Rfam family "Bacterial small subunit ribosomal RNA", at positions 8 to 939 of the family's 1533-position model. The record is from RNAcentral.